GCCUGGCUGGCUCAGUGGUGGAGCACGAGGCUACUGAUCUCAAAGUCAUGAGUUCAAGCCCAAUGUUGGGCA
This 72-nucleotide transfer RNA is filed under the name Canis lupus familiaris (dog). It matches the Rfam family "tRNA". Rfam says of the family: Transfer RNA (tRNA) molecules are approximately 80 nucleotides in length. Their secondary structure includes four short double-helical elements and three loops (D, anti-codon, and T loops). Further hydrogen bonds mediate the characteristic L-shaped molecular structure. tRNAs have two regions of fundamental functional importance: the anti-codon, which is responsible for specific mRNA codon recognition, and the 3' end, to which the tRNAs corresponding amino acid is attached (by aminoacyl-tRNA synthetases). tRNAs cope with the degeneracy of the genetic code in two manners: having more than one tRNA (with a specific anti-codon) for a particular amino acid; and 'wobble' base-pairing, i.e. permitting non-standard base-pairing at the 3rd anti-codon position. RNAcentral also lists the same sequence under 1 other name. Lineage: Eukaryota; Metazoa; Chordata; Mammalia; Carnivora; Canidae. The record is from Rfam by way of RNAcentral.